GGAAACCGGAGCUAAUACCGGAUAAUAUAUUGAACCGCAUGGUUCAAUAGUGAAAGACGGUUUUGCUGUCACUUAUAGAUGGAUCUGCGCCGCAUUAGCUAGUUGGUAAGGUAACGGCUUACCAAGGCAACGAUGCGUAGCCGACCUGAGAGGGUGAUCGGCCACACUGGAACUGAGACACGGUCCAG
RNAcentral lists this ribosomal RNA (188 nucleotides) under uncultured Staphylococcus sp. RNAcentral describes it as "partial 16S ribosomal RNA". It matches the Rfam family "Bacterial small subunit ribosomal RNA", at positions 152 to 334 of the family's 1533-position model. The record is from RNAcentral. Lineage: Bacteria; Bacillati; Bacillota; Bacilli; Caryophanales; Staphylococcaceae.